This is a non-coding RNA of Arachis ipaensis, 101 nucleotides long. Lineage: Eukaryota; Viridiplantae; Streptophyta; Magnoliopsida; Fabales; Fabaceae. The record is from RefSeq and is a predicted model, not a curated record.
UCGAUCCGAAAUAAUGACCAGGUAUAUUUUUAAGAUCCUUACCCGACUCUAGACUCGAUGAAAUCACGCCAAAUUAUCCCUAAUAUUUUUGGGGCCAAGCC